UGGGGAAUAUUGCACAAUGGGGGAAACCCUGAUGCAGCAACGCCGCGUGGGUGAAGAAGUAUUUCGGUAUGUAAAGCCCUAUCAGCAGGGAAGAAGAGAGACGGUACCUGACUAAGAAGCCCCGGCUAACUACGUGCCAGCAGCCGCGGUAAUACGUAGGGGGCAAGCGUUAUCCGGAUUUACUGGGUGUAAAGGGAGCGUAGACGGCUUGAUAAGUCUGAAGUGAAAGGCCAAGGCUUAACCAUGGAACUGCUUUGGAAACUAUGAGGCUAGAGUGCUGGAGAGGUAAGCGGAAUUCCUAGUGUAGCGGUGAAAUGCGUAGAUAUUAGGAGGAACACCAGUGGCGAAGGCGGCUUACUGGACAGAAACUGACGUUGAGGCUCGAAAGCGUGGGGAGCAAACA
This 403-nucleotide ribosomal RNA is filed under the name uncultured Lachnospiraceae bacterium. Its description in RNAcentral is "bacterial SSU rRNA". It matches the Rfam family "Bacterial small subunit ribosomal RNA", at positions 355 to 774 of the family's 1533-position model. The record is from RNAcentral. Lineage: Bacteria; Bacillati; Bacillota; Clostridia; Lachnospirales; Lachnospiraceae.